This 730-nucleotide long non-coding RNA is filed under the name Homo sapiens (human). Its description in RNAcentral is "non-protein coding SGO1-AS1:13". Lineage: Eukaryota; Metazoa; Chordata; Mammalia; Primates; Hominidae. The record is from RNAcentral.
AGAGUCGUGGGGAUUUUACGGGUGGAGUUACUCCGAAACCUUUAAGGCCGAGUGUGAUAGGUAGUUCAAAGCUUCCUGUUUCUUCAGUCUGACAGCUUCAAAUGUCCCGGGUUGUGCUCAAAGCCUCCCUCUUGUGAGAAGAAUCUCUUUGGUUGCCUGUUAAAGCGGUCAGCCAGCUUGCAACACGGAAGCAGCUUUUAGAGGAAUUAAAACCAAAACAAGGAGCAAAUUCUGGAUUAAAAAGAUAUUUGCAACCAUUCUUCCAAUCAAUUUUAGAAAAUUUCCACCACCUCAAAAAGAAAUCCUGAUGAAGAAACAUCCUGAGAAGGUUGACAUGCUGAAUGCCUUAAAGAACUUCAAUUGGGAUGCCAGAUGAAAGUGUAACUAGAAUUUCUAUGGCUUAAAUAACGAGAUCCAAGGAGAUUUCUGAGAAGUCCUACUUGGGAUGAAAAGAUGGACUUACAUAAUAAAAUAUAAUUUAUAAAGAUAAUUUGAACAUAAAGUAGAUCACAAAACUAUCUUUCCUAGAGUUGGAAGAUGAAUUUGGUAAGUCUGACGUGUGGAUAAAAAUUAUAUAUCACAUAUUUCUUAGAAAUCAGAGUAGAUAUCAGUGUUCUUUCUGAUUAGUCCAGAUAAUUAGGAAAGAAGUAGAGGGAGAAAAACUCUAGAAGUAAGAAAGUUUGAUUUCAUGUGUAAUCAGAAGAAAUAUUCAAGUAAUUUAUCACUAAUU